RNAcentral lists this ribosomal RNA (497 nucleotides) under uncultured bacterium. RNAcentral's name for it is "partial 16S ribosomal RNA". It matches the Rfam family "Bacterial small subunit ribosomal RNA", at positions 28 to 507 of the family's 1533-position model. The record is from RNAcentral.
GAUGAACGCUGGCGGCGUGCCUAAUACAUGCAAGUCGAGCGAACGGACGAGAAUCUUGCUUCUCUGAUGUUAGCGGCGGACGGGUGAGUAACACGUGGAUAACCUACCUAUAAGACUGGGAUAACUUCGGGAAACCUUAUCUAAUACCGGAUAAUAUUUUGAACCGCAUGGUUCAAAAGUGAAAGACGGUCUUGCUGUCACUUAUAGAUGUAUCCGCGCUGCAUUAGCUAGUUGGUAAGGUAACGGCUUACCAAGGCAACGAUGCAUAGCCGACCUGAGAGGGUGAUCGGCCACACUGGAACUGAGACACGGUCCAGACUCCUACGGGAGGCAGCAGUAGGGAAUCUUCCGCAAUGGGCGAAAGCCUGACGGAGCAACGCCGCGUGAGUGAUGAAGGUCUUCGGAUCGUAAAACUCUGUUAUUAGGGAAGAACAUAUGUGUAAGUAACUGUGCACAUCUUGACGGUACCUACCCAGAAAGCAACGGCUAACUACGUG